GGGUAAAAGCCUCCUCCAACUUUUGGCCUGUAUUAUUGUAAAAGGUAUGUUUUCUAAUUCUAUUUCUAGUAAACAAACUCUCUCUGAUAUUCCGGUAAAUGUUAUUAUAUUGUUUUUUAGAUAUUUUUUGAUCAGGAAACCCACGCCAUACAGGCCUUUAGUUUCGCCUAUGUAAUACAUAAUAUAAUCGUCAUCCUCGAUAAUGUUCUCACCUAAUCGACGUACUUCGCAUAGUCCUAAUAUAUCAUGAUUAAUGUUCUGCAGCGCUGCCUUUAGUUCAAUAAGUUUCAUUUCAGAAGAGAGUGUUUUGACGUUUAAGGUACAAAUGUUUAAAUUGGUUAGUGUUUCUUUGUUUUUAGUUGGAGGGUUUUGGUCGAUCUCUCCCGCGGUGACCGGCCGUACUGGGAGAUUUGUAGGGUGAGGAGGGUAAAUCUGUUGUUGCUAUUCUAUAUUCUGUUGUGUGGCCAUCAGGUGAGGUGAGUCUAUUUUAGUUUUGGGAAAGGUAAGUUUUUGUUUGUGAAGUACAAAAUCCUUCAUGUUGGUAGCUUUGUUCUUUUUCGUUGGUUGUUUACCACGUUGAGUGGAGUAGUUUGUAUGCGAUGACUCCGGGGAUUCGGACAGGAUUCUCUUAUUUAAUUGCUUUCGAGAUGUAACUUUGUUACUCUUAGGUAUUAUAAGUGUGUCAUAUUUCAUAAACGCAUUAUUGCCAGCCUCCCUUUCCUUCACCAGUUGUUCUUGUAAUUCUUUGCGCUUGAUUAAAACAUCUUUGGGGUAGUCUUCCUUUAUGUAAUAUGACGUGCUGCUCAAACAAGACUUGUUUUUCAUAAUCAUGAUCUUGAAACCCAGUGUAGUGAAUGAUAUAACAACUGGUCUAGUUUUCUCGCUUUUCCUACCCAGUCUUCUGACCACUUCGAUGUUACUUUUGU
Papilio machaon (common yellow swallowtail) is the source of this 926-nucleotide long non-coding RNA. RefSeq lists it as uncharacterized. The record is from RefSeq and is a predicted model, not a curated record. The transcript is spliced from 3 exons. Lineage: Eukaryota; Metazoa; Arthropoda; Insecta; Lepidoptera; Papilionidae.